CCCUUGAAGAUAAGGAUGGUCAAACAAAAUAAUAUUAUAUCUGCAGAAAGUCAGAUCUUGGUAAGAUUUACUAGUUGGGAAUCCAAUGUUAAUGCCAAGAAGCAGCUGCCAGUUGGGAUCAAAUGUGAGCCUAUGGAUCAAGGAAUGCCUGGACACAGUAGACAAAAGUUGUUCAACUGGACGCCUUAGGAUACACGCUACCAAAAACAAAGUAGCCAAAAAGGAACCAGAAUAACAGAAUAUCAGAGCCAGAGGAACAUUUGGAGACGGUUACCUGGCACGCUGGCCACAGUCUACCUCACUCUUAUCAGAGUCUGAGCUACUGGCAGUGCUUUCAGCUCUGAGUUCAGGCACCUCGAACCUUGUUUUUGUGGUGAAGGAUCCUAAAGUGCUGUGGGGAGUGAUCACAUUUUUCACAACAUCCCUGGCUCCACCUCUUCUGCCACAAACGUCAGCAUGGUGGUAUCAGCUGGCCCUUGGUCCAGCGAGAAGGCAGAGACGAACAUUUUAGAAAUCAACGAGAAAUUGCGCCCCCAGCUGGCAGAGAACAAACAGCAGUUCAGAAACCUCAAAGAGAAAUGUUUUGUAACUCAACUGGCCGGCUUCCUGGCCAACCGACAGAAGAAAUACAGCAAUAUAAAGUCCUGGUUCACUCUCAGGAACGAGAGCUGACCCAGUUAAGGGAGAAGUUACGGGAAGGGAGAGAUGCCUCCCGCUCAUUGAAUCAGCAUCUCCAGGCCCUCCUCACUCCGGAUAAGCCAGACAAGUCCCAGGGGCAGGACCUCCAAGAACAGCUGGCUGAGGGGUGUAGACUGGCACAGCAACUUUUCCAGAAGCUCAGCCCAGAAAAUGACGAAGAUGAGGAUGAAGAUGUUCAAGUUGAGGAGGCUGAGAAAGUACUGGAAUCAUCUGCCCCCAGGGAGGUGCAGAAGGCUGAAGAAAGCAAAGUCCCUGAGGACUCACUGGAGGAAUGUGCCAUCACUUGUUCAAAUAGCCACAGCCCUUGUGACUCCAACCAGCCUCACAAGAACAUCAACAUCACCUUUGAGGAAGACAAAGUCAACUCAACUCUGGUUGUAGACAGAGAAUCCUCUCAUGAUGAAUGUCAGGAUGCUGUAAACAUUCUCCCAGUCCCUGGCCCCACCUCUUCUGCCACAAACGUCAGCAUGGUGGUAUCAGCCGGCCCUUUGUCCAGCGAGAAGGCAGAGAUGAACAUUCUAGAAAUCAACGAGAAAUUGCAUCCCCAGCUGGCAGAGAAGAAACAGCAGUUCAGAAACCUCAAAGAGAAAUGUUUUGUAACUCAACUGGCCUGCUUCCUGGCCAACCAGCAGAACAAAUACAAAUAUGAAGAGUGCAAAGACCUCAUAAAAUCUAUGCUGAGGAAUGAGCGACAGUUCAAGGAGGAGAAGCUUGCAGAGCAGCUCAAGCAAGCUGAGGAGCUCAGGCAAUAUAAAGUCCUGGUUCACUCUCAGGAACGAGAGCUGACCCAGUUAAGGGAGAAGUUACGGGAAGGGAGAGAUGCCUCCCGCUCAUUGAAUCAGCAUCUCCAGGCCCUCCUCACUCCGGAUAAGCCAGACAAGUCCCAGGGGCAGGACCUCCAAGAACAGCUGGCUGAGGGGUGUAGACUGGCACAGCAACUUUUCCAGAAGCUCAGCCCAGAAAAUGACGAAGAUGAGGAUGAAGAUGUUCAAGUUGAGGAGGCUGAGAAAGUACUGGAAUCAUCUGCCCCCAGGGAGAUGCCGAAGGCUGAAGAAAAGGAAGUCCCUGAGGACUCACUGGAGGAAUGUGCCAUCACUUGUUCAAAUAGCCAUGGCCCUUAUGACUCCAACCAGCCACAUAGGAAAACCAAAAUCACAUUUGAGGAAGACAAAGUCGACUCAACUCUCAUUGGCUCAUCCUCUCAUGUUGAAUGGGAGGAUGCUGUACACAUUAUCCCAGAAAAUGAAAGUGAUGAUGAGGAAGAGGAAGAAAAAGGGCCAGUGUCUCCCAGGAAUCUGCAGGAGUCUGAAGAGGAGGAAGUCCCCCAGGAGUCCUGGGAUGAAGGUUAUUCGACUCUCUCAAUUCCUCCUGAAAUGUUGGCCUCGUACAAGUCUUACAGCGGCACAUUUCACUCAUUAGAGGAACAGCAAGUCUGCAUGGCUGUUGACAUAGCAGGACAUCGGUGGGAUCAAGUGAAAAAGGAGGACCAAGAGGCAACAGGUCCCAGGCUCAGCAGGGAGCUGCUGGAUGAGAAAGGGCCUGAAGUCUUGCAGGACUCACUGGAUAGAUGUUAUUCAACUCCUUCAGGUUAUCUUGAACUGACUGACUCAUGCCAGCCCUACAGAAGUGCCUUUUACAUAUUGGAGCAACAGCGUGUUGGCUGGGCUCUUGACAUGGAUGAAAUUGAAAAGUACCAAGAAGUGGAAGAAGACCAAGACCCAUCAUGCCCCAGGCUCAGCGGCAUGCUGAUGGAAGUGGAAGAGCCUGAAGUCUUGCAGGACUCACUGGAUAGAUGUUAUUCGACUCCGUCAAUGUACUUUGAACUACCUGACUCAUUCCAGCACUACAGAAGUGUGUUUUACUCAUUUGAGGAACAGCACAUCAGCUUCGCCCUUGACGUGGACAAUAGGUUUCUUACUUUGAUGGGAACAAGUCUCCACCUGGUCUUCCAGAUGGGAGUCAUAUUCCCACAGUAAGCAGCCCUUACUAAGCCGAGAGAUGUCAUUCCUGCAGGCAGGACCUAUAGGCACGUGAAGAUUUGAAUGAAACUAUAGUUCCAUUUGGAAGCCCAGACAUAGGAUGGGUCAGUGGGCAUGGCUCUAUUCCUAUUCUCAGACCAUGCCAGUGGCACCCUGUGCUCAGUCUGAAGACAAUGGACCCAAGUUAGGUGUGACACGUUCACAUAACUGUGCAGCACAUGCCGGGAGUGAUCAGUCAGACAUUUUAAUUUGAACCACUUAUCUCUGGGUAGCUACAAAGUUCCUCAGGGAUUUCAUUUUGCAGUCAUGUCUCUGAGCUUCUAUACCUGCUCAAGGUCAGUGUCAUCUUUGUGUUUAGCUCAUCCAAAGGUGUUACCCUGGUUUCAAUGAACCUAACCUCAUUCUUUGUAUCUUCAGUGUUGAAUUGUUUUAGCUGAUCCAUCUUUAACACAGGAGGGAUCCUUGGCUGAGGAUUGUAUUUCAGAACCACCAACUGCUCUUGACAAUUGUUAACCCGCUAGGCUCCUUUGGUUAGAGAAGCCACAGUCCUUCAGCCUCCAAUUGGUGUCAGUACUUAGGAAGACCACAGCUAGAUGGACAAACAGCAUUGGGAGGCCUUAGCCCUGCUCCUCUCGAUUCCAUCCUGUAGAGAACAGGAGUCAGGAGCCGCUGGCAGGAGACAGCAUGUCACCCAGGACUCUGCCGGUGCAGAAUAUGAACAACGCCAUGUUCUUGCAGAAAACGCUUAGCCUGAGUUUCAUAGGAGGUAAUUACCAGACAACUGCAGAAUGUAGAACACUGAGCAGGACAACUGACCUGUCUCCUUCACAUAGUCCAUAUCACCACAAAUCACACAACAAAAAGGAGAAGAGAUAUUUUGGGUUCAAAAAAAGUAAAAAGAUAAUAUAGCUGCAUUUCUUUAGUUAUUUUGAACCCCAAAUAUUUCCUCAUCUUUUUGUUGUUGUCAUUGAUGGUGGUGACAUGGACUUGUUUAUAGAGGACAGGUCAGCUCUCUGGCUCAAUGAUCUACAUUCUGAAGUUGUCUGAAAAUGUCUUCAUGAUUAAAUUCAGCCUAAACGUUUUGCCGGGAACACUGCAGAGACAAUGCUGUGAGUUUCCAACCUUAGCCCAUCUGCGGGCAGAGAAGGUCUAGUUUGUCCAUCAGCAUUAUCAUGAUAUCAGGACUGGUUACUUGGUUAAGGAGGGGUCUAGGAGAUCUGUCCCUUUUAGAGACACCUUACUUAUAAUGAAGUAUUUGGGAGGGUGGUUUUCAAAAUUAGAAAUGUCCUGUAUUCCAAUGAUCAUCCUGUAAACAUUUUAUCAUUUAUUAAUCAUCCCUGCCUGUGUCUAUUAUUAUAUUCAUAUCUCUACGCUGGAAACUUUCUGCCUCAAUGUUUACUGUGCCUUUGUUUUUGCUAGUGUGUGUUGUUGAAAAAAAAAACAUUCUCUGCCUGAGUUUUAAUUUUUGUCCAAAGUUAUUUUAAUCUAUACAAUUAAAAGCUUUUGCCUAUCACUCUGGACUGUUGGAUUGUUUUUUACAUUCAGUGUUAUAAUCUUUUGUUAUGCUGAUUGGUUUUGGUGGGUACUGAUGUGAAUUAAUAAAAACAUUUCCAUUUC
RNAcentral lists this long non-coding RNA (4295 nucleotides) under Homo sapiens (human). Its description in RNAcentral is "non-protein coding lnc-NBPF1-2:11". Lineage: Eukaryota; Metazoa; Chordata; Mammalia; Primates; Hominidae. The record is from RNAcentral.